UUCCAUGUUUGCUUUUGUACCAGUACCAUGCUUUUUGGUUACUGCAGCCUUAUAGAGUAGUAUGAAGUCGAGUAGUGUGAUGACUUCAGCUUUGCUCUUUAUGCUUAGCAUUGCUUUAGCUAUCCACAUUCAUUUUUGCUUUAAUAUGAAUUUCAGAAUGGUUUUCUUUAAUUUGGCAAAAAAUUAUAUUGGUACUUUGAAAGGAGUAGUAUCGAAUCUAUAAAUUGCUUGGGUAAUGACAGAGUUGGGAUAUUUGUUUCUGCCCAGAUCUCAUGUUGAGUUACAGAUCCCAAUGCUGGAGGUGGGUCCUGGCAGAAGGUGUUUGAACCAUGAGGGUGGAUCCCUCAUAGCUGGAUGCUGUCUUCAUGAAGUCUGCAGGCCAGACUUCCCCAGGUGGUAGACAACAUCUUAGGUGGUGACCCUGAUGUGAUAACCGUCACAGCAGGCGCUCGAAUGAGGAACAAACCAAUGUGAUCACUGCUGCAAAGAAGGAACAGCAGAACGCCUGGGACCAGAAGGUACAGAGGACUUGUGCGGUCAGGUCAAGAAGUCAGCUGGAUGCUUCCUCAGGCUUCUCCAGAAGCAGAUGUGACUAUCCUUCCUGUAUUGCCUGCAGAACCUCUCUGGAUUGCAUAUUAGAAGGUGGCUCACCACCACCAAGUUCUUCUAAACUAAUCACUUGGGAAGGAAGAAAGUGCAGAAGGAAAGCAGCUUACUUCUAAGAAAAUGGCACAGAAUUUCCUCACAUGUUUUUCACUAACAUCUUACUGGACAGAAUUUAAUGGCCUCAUAUAACUCCAAGGGAGACUAGAGCAUUUGGAUUCUAUCUUGGAGGCCAUGUCCCCAGCAAAAAAGAUAAUGGAUAUUAGAGGACAGAUAGCAAGCACUCUAUGCCAUAAUCUGUUUCAGAUUUUGACCAAUUUGGCUGACCAAAAAAGUAAGAAAGAAAUUAGCAGAAUUUAUGUAUCUACUAAGUUCUUACUGUGUAUUAUACUAUUUUAGGCUUUGGGGUGCAAUAAUAUGAUAGCCUUACAGAGUAGACAUUGACCCCUAUUAGAAAAUACAGA
Molecule: long non-coding RNA, 1067 nt
Organism: Cebus imitator (Panamanian white-faced capuchin)
Lineage: Eukaryota; Metazoa; Chordata; Mammalia; Primates; Cebidae
Exons: 4
Source: RefSeq, a predicted model, not a curated record